Molecule: long non-coding RNA, 16235 nt
Filed under: Solanum tuberosum (potato)
Lineage: Eukaryota; Viridiplantae; Streptophyta; Magnoliopsida; Solanales; Solanaceae
Description: long non-coding RNA (STUB_LNC011915)
Source: RNAcentral
UCAAAACUAAGCCUAAGCUUUCCUAGAAUAUCCUUGUGAGGGAUUCUCUUCAGCCGAUCAAUUAUGUGUCUCCAGUGCUUUUUGUCUCGUCCGUAAAAUGAAGAACCCAAAACUUUAAGAGCUAAAGGGAGUCCACCAGCAUGCUCCACCACUUGUCUUGAAAGUUCCAUAAAAUCUUCUUUUGGUGAUUUUUCUCUAAAAGCAUGCCUACUGAACAAUUCAAGUGCUUCAUCCUCAGAUAAUAGUUGGACUUCAUACACGUUAUCCCCAACGUGACUUAUUAACAAGUGCUUGUCUCUUGCUGUUAAAAUAAUUCUGCUACCCCUACCAAACCAUUCUGGCUCUCCAACCAAAAAUUCCAACUGUUCUUGAUGGUUUACAUCAUCGAUGGUGAACAGAACUUUCUUCCAGCGAAGCAUAUUCUUUAAAAUAUUCAUCCCUUCAUGCUCACUAGUUAGAGUCAAUUUUUCACCCAAGAGCUUGCAAAUGACGACUUGUUGUAGCCAUGUUAGUCCCUUUUUCUGAUGAAGUUUUCCAACAUCACCAAGAAAACAAUCAGCUUCAAAUUGAUGGCGGUAUCUUUGAUGUAGAACAUUUGCAAUUUCUGUUUUGCCGAUGCCGCCCAUACCCCAAAUACCAAUAGAGCGAACAUCAUUUGAUUCCAUAUCUAAUAAUGAGGUUACUUUAUCAACCUGAGAUUUCAUACCCACUAAGUUUUCCGGGAAAGGUGAAAUAAUUUGAAGUGACUUAGGAAAUAUGUCAUCAACUAGUUUCUUGACGCACUCAGCCUCAUCCCUACAUUACAGUGGAAAAUAAACUCAAAGUAAAUAAAUAGAAAAGCAAAGACUUGUCAUAGACUAAUAUCUAAAACAAACACAUAAUAAUGUCAAUUAUGAAUUAUUACAUUUUUAAAUCUAAUUACAUCAUCAAACAAUCAUAUACGUCUCUGUUUUCCUUUUUCGGUAAAAGUAUAGCUGAUGAUUGUGUGGAAUUGUAGCUAAAAGUUUGGUCCUUUUCGCUCUUGAUAAAGAGAAACCGGAAAAAAAGAAGAAAGCUUACUUGAAAUUAAGUAAAUGAUAGCCUGAUAUUUUCCCUGCCUCCACAAAUGCACCCCUCCAUCUCUGAACCUUCUCCAUAUCAUCUUUGCAUUUUUCCUCAUGUUGUAAAAAUGAAUCAGCAAAAGGGGGAUGUUGAUGGCACACAUCUGAUUGACUCACAUCAUAGAAGACUGGAAUCACAAUCUGCUCCAAUUCCUUUUUACACUUUAUGAUGUGUGCAAGCUCCUUUAAGCACCAUCUUGACGAUGCAUAGCUUUUGGAAAAUAUCACUAUAGCAAAUUUAGACUCUUGUAUGGCUUUCAAAAGUUCAUCAGAAAUUGAUUUUCCCGUUUCUAGUCGCUCAUCAUCUUUAAAAGUGCGGAUUCCUCUUAGUUCCAAAGAAUUAUAGAGAUGACUCACAAAGUUUCUACGUGUAUCUUCACCUCUAAAACUCAAAAAGACAUCGUACUUGCAAAUUUUGGAAGAUGAAGCAUGAGACAUUGUUGAAGAAUAUUGCUAAAGACUAACAGGCAAGUUCUCAGCACAACUGGCAAAUUUAUUUCUCAGCCAUAAUUUGGUGUAUGGGGAUACUUCCAUUCAUCUUCCUAUCUGUUACUAUAUAGAAUUAAAACAACCUGGUCAACAAGAAAGAAAAGACAAAGCUUAAUAUUAAAGAAUAAGGUUUCACCUACUUCACUAUUCCUAGGGAACUUCUUGUCAUCUUCCUAAUCCAUGAUUGUGAGAAAUUAAAGAGUAUAAAAAGACGCAACUUGGGCCGCCUUAGACCAAAAAAGGGAAGAAAAAACUUGUUAUCAUCUUCCUAAUUCAUUUGUACUACUUUUAAAAUAUUUUAUUGUAAAGACUUUACCUUUUUUUCAUUAUUCCAGACCUAUAUAGGAAACUACUUAUCAUCUUCCUAAUUCAUGACAUAAAAAUGUACACUUUUACAGUAUUGCACUGAUAAAUUAAACAAAUGAGCACCAAAUUGAUACCUUUCAGUAAAUUGAUAUAAAUUCGUUGCCCUACCUGCGAAAUUGAACAAAAUUUUCGUAGCAAUUUAGAAAAAAACACACAAAAAGCAGAAAAGAAAGACAAACCUCAUCAAAGAUAUUAAGCAGAAAUGAAGAGAACCACAAUCUAACAGCUGAUUGUUAAGUGCUAAAGGCAAAAUACUUUUUAAGCCCAAAAAAGAGAAAAUGGGUAUGUACAAGCAACAAAUGAAAGGAUCCUUGAAGCUCAAAUAUAGAGGGAUGUUGUUAUACUUCAAAGAAUAUUUUCUUUUAGGGUCAGAUUUGCAGACCAAUGUAACUUCUAAUUUUGUGUGCAGUAUAACAGGACCGUAACAUAUCCAAAAACCCAUGAAUUUAUAGGUAUACCAAGAUGGGUUCAGAUCAAUUGACAUCUCUUUUUGAUUUAUAAACCGAUUAUAAUCUAACAGCUCUGGAAUUCUGACUCCGGAAAAAGAAAUGAGAAAACAACCCCUUAGGUAGAAGUCACACUGCAUGUAAUAUAAAUUAUUAUUACUAAUAGAAGUCAAUUUGAUGAGAAUAUUCAACAUUCAUAUAUGAGAUAAAAACCUGGAUGCAUGUCCUGCGAAAAUGCUGUAGGAACACAUUAGCUUGUUCACUUGAGACAGUUUCACAUUCGGAUAUUGCAAGCCUACACAGCUUAGGGUAAUGAAUUACGAGAUCUCUGAUGCUCAUUAAGGCUAAAUGAUAAUCUGCAAAUAGCUCCCUUAGCUUUCCUGGCAGUCCAUUAAAUUCUGACAGAAUUCAAGUGACGCCACUUGAUGCAAAUCACCAAUGAUUUCUGGAAGCUUUUCUAGUCUUUUGCACCCUCUGGGCUCUGAGUAAAAGACGUUGCAGAUUCAUCAAAUUACAGAGGCUGUCUGGUAGACUUACAAGAUCUUCACAACCUGUCAGAUUUAGCUCAGUGAGGCCGCUCAUAUUUCUAGUGAACGAAGGCAUUUCUCUUAUCCCAGUAGAAUUCAGAGUCAGUUGUAUCAAGCAAUGCAUAUCUCCGUUGAUUUCUGGAAAUGCAUUAUAGAGAUGACUCACAAAGGUUCUACGUGUAUCUUUGUGACAUAACUUGACCCUUAGACCAAAAAAGGAAAAGAAAAAACUAGAAGUCAUUAUAUUUUUGCUGAUUUUAUUGUAAAGACUAGACUUUACCUUUUUUCAUUAUUCCAAGCCUCUGUAGAAAACUUGUUAUCAUCUUUCUAAUUCAUGACAUAUCAUUGUACCCUUUUGCAGUAUUGCAGUGACAAAUUAAACAAAUGAGUAGCAAAUUGGGGACAAAUAUAAGUUUUCCCCAUUUUAACUUAAUCAUACCUUCCUGUAAAUGAUAUAAAUUUGUUGCCCUACCUGAGGAAUUGUCCAGAAAUUGAAGAAAAAUUUCAUAAUAAUUUAGAAGAAAAAGCAGAAAAGAAUGACUGACCUGAGAGAACCACACCAAAAGCUAACUAUUGAGGUAUAUAAGAGCCUGUUUGGAUUCAGAAUAGUUUUAAAGUGUUUAUGUAAAUUUAAAAAGAAAUAGGCUUCAAUCAGCUUAUUGAGCUACAGAAGUUUUCUCAACUCACAAUGGAGCAUCCAGUUUUUAUAUUUACAUUAUAUAUACAAAUUCUAUGGAACAAUAUCACCGUAUACUUGAGAGUCAAUUAGCAGCAAACACAUCAUAAACAGAAAUACUACUUCUACUUUUUAUGGCUAAACAGAUCUUAUAUAAGCCCAAUAUCAGCUUCACAAAUGACAUACUAAAAUCUCAUACCCCUUCCAAUAGGACUCAAUUAUUUUUAAUAGCAUUAAUUUUCAAAUUAAAAAUGUCUCUCCCAAUCCAAGUUACCUUUUACAUAUAAAGGGAUCUUAGGAAGAUGGUGUGUACGUAACUUUACCCUUACCUAGUUAAGGUAGAGAAGUUGUUUCCCACUCAAACACCAACAUUAUAAAUAAAAAUUUCAUCCAUCUAUCAUCGAUACAAAUUCCUGGUAUAUAAUUAAUUUUCAUUUGAGAAGGGUACAUACAAAUUGUACCAACAAUGUAGAACAUACACUUUCCAUACCAUUUUAUGAUACAUGUUUGGUUGAAUACAAAAUUUAAGAAAGACAGAAAAAUAUUUGAAAAUUGUGAUGUAAAACAAGUCAUAAACAGACCUUUGCAUCAUUUGGGUUCUUCCCUUCUUUAUUGUCAGAAGCAUACCACAAUGUUUCAAACGGUAUAUAGGCACAACAAAUGAAAGGAUACUCGAACCUCGAAUAUUCAGGGAUGUAGUUCUACUCCAAGGAAUAUUUUCUUUCAGGGUCAGACUUGCAGACCAAUGUAGCUUCUAAUCUUGCGUCCAGUCUAGUAGGACCGUAACUUAUCAAAAAACCCAUGAAUUUAUCAGUAUACCAAAAUGGGUUCAGCUUAAGACAACAAAUUACGAGAUUUUUGCUGCUCUUCAAAGUUAGAUGAUAAUCAGCAAAUAGCUCCCUUAAAUUUGGGGGUAGCUCUCCUGGCAGUUCAUUAAGAUUCUGACAGAAUUAUACGUUCAGAUGCUGAAGGUGUAAGAGUCCUUUGAAGCUUUUUGGUAAACAAGAAAUAUUGCUUCCACUUACAUUCAAAUUUUCCAAAGAGUGCAAAGAUCCUAAAUCCUCAGGAAGUCCACUCAAUAUGUUGUGAUUAUUAAGAUCAUGUGAUGUCAAGGAGGAUAAACCUGAUACUUGAUUCAAGACAAAACUUGAGGAAUGUUGAAAUUGUUGUUCAUGUGAGAAUCGUAACUUCCACAGUUUGCCAAGCUUAGUGAUGGAGGGAGGUGGUUGGGAGAUUGCAGUUUCGCUCGCAUCAAGUAUAUGUAAAUCUUGCAAAUCACCAAUGUUUUCUGGAAGCUUCUCUAGCUUGUUGCACCCGUCGAGGUAAAGACAUCGAAGUUUCAUCAAAUUGCAGAUAUUCGAGGUCUCCUAGAUGCCCAAUGGAUGAAGGCACUUCUCUUAUCCCAGUAGAAUUCAGAGUCAGCUGUGUCAAGUAAUGCAUAUCUCCAUUGAUUUCUGGAAAUGUAUCUAAUUUUGGGGAAUUAGAUAUCUUGAGCUUUUGAAGGGAUUUCAUCUGAAUCGAGCUUGGAAGCUUCUUUAAGUUCUCACAUCCAUCUAUCUCUAACAAACGGAGCUUCUUUUGAACUCCAAGAGAUAUGGGGAGCUUUACCAAUCCAGAACAUCGGUAUAUACCAAGACAUCCCAAUUGCUGUGAUUCAAAGAGGUUGUUUGGCAGUGUUGCAAAUUUAUUGAAACCUGAAAUACUGAGAUCUCUAAGAUUUUGAAUGGCGUCCAGAAUACUCUCAAGAACUUCACACUCAGUCAAUUGCAAAUUUCUAAGGCUGCUGAAAGAUGGAGGUAAGCUUCUUAUCCACGGGUAUUUUACAUAGAGUAUUGAUAAGCGCGGCAUAUCUCCACAGAUUUCUGGAAAUUCUUCUAAGCUUGUGCAUUCAAGGAGAUUGAGAGUCUCAAGAGAUCCCACGCAGACAAAUUUUGGAAUCUUCUUAAGUUUGCGAUAACCUUCCAAACUCAAAUAAGUAAGCAGUCUGCAAUGUCCAAAUGAGGAAUGGACCUCUUCCAAAUUCACACACCGUGUAAAUUUAGUGUCUCUAAGUUUGGCAUAUCACCAAAAUUAGGGGUUUUUCUUAACUCACAGCUGUCCAUGAGAUCCAAAUGCUUCAAGUUGCUCAAUUUCUGUUUCCAAAAAAAAAAAAGAACAGUGAGCUUAACUAGUACUCCUAAUAGAAAUAUUUUGUAGGAAAAAAAAAUAAAGAGAAGAUAAGGUUGUUAUGAUCAUUAAAGGCGGUAGCCAAUCUGGAAAAGAACUUUUGAGAUACAUAAUUGUCUUAAAAUCCAAAUAUAUAUUUCUUUUCUUUUAAUUUCAUAAUGAAAAUAAAACCUCUUUAAACCUAGAAAUAAUUCCUUCUCAUCUUUGUCCAGACAAUCAAAACUAAGCCUAAGCUUUCCUAAAAUAUCCUUGUGAGGGAUUCUCUUCAGCCGAUCAAUUAUGUGUCUCCAGUGCUUUUUGUCUCGUCCGUAAAAUGAAGAACCCAAAACUUUAAGAGCUAAAGGGAGUCCACCAGCAUGGUGCACCACUUGUCUUGAAAGUUCCAUAAAAUCUUCUUUUGGUGAUUUUUCUCUAAAAGCAUGACUACUGAACAAUUCAAGUGCUUCAUCCUCCGAUAAUAGUUGGACUUCAUACACGUUAUCCCCAACGUGACUGAUUAACAGGUGCUUGUCUCUUGCCGUUAAAAUAAUUCUGCUACCCCUACCAAACCACUCUGUCCCUCCAACUAAAAAUUCCCACUGUUCUUGAUGGUUUACAUCAUCAAGGAUGAACAGAACUUUCUUCCAGCGAAGCAUAUUCUUUUAAAUAUUCAUCCCUUCAUGCUCACUAGUUAGAGUCAAUUUUUCACCCAAGAGCUUGCAAAUGACAACUUGUUGUAGCCAUGUUAGUCCAUUUUUCUGAUGAAGUUUUCCAACAUCACCAAGAAAACAAUCAGCUUCACAUCGAUGGCGGUAUCUUUGAUGUAGAAUAUUUGCAAUUUCUGUCUUGCCGAUGCCGCCCAUACCCCAAAUGCCGAUGGAGCAAACAUCAUUUGAUUCCAUAUCUAAUAAUGAGGUUACUUUCUCAACCUGAGAUUUUUUACCCACUAAACUUUCCAGGAAAGGUGAAAUAAUUUGAAGUGACUUGGGAAAUAUGACAUCAACUAACUUCUUGAUGCACUCAGCCUCAUCCCUACAUUACAGUGAAAAUACUCUCAGAGUAAAUAAAUAGAAAAGGAAAGACUUGUCAUAGAUUAAUAUCUAAAGCAAACACAUAAUAAUGUCACAAAGGUUGUUCCCCCGCUCUCCCCCCCCCCCCUGGUGUCAUAAGGUAGCUUAAAUCAACUAUUAUGAAUUAUAACAUUUUAAAAUCUAAUUACAUCAUCAAACAACCAGAUAGCUAAAAGUUUGGUCCUUUUUCCUCUUGAUAAAGAGAAACCCGAAGAAAAGAAGAAGAUCACUUACUUGAAAUUUUGUAAAUGAUACCCCGAUAUUUUCCCAGCCUCCGCAAAUGCACCCGUCCAUCUCUGAACCUUCUCCAUAUCAUCUUUGCAUUUUUCCUCAUGUUGUAAAAAUGAAUCAGCAAAAGGGGGAUGUUGAUGGCACACAUCUGAUUGACUCACAUCAUAGAAGACUGGAAUCACAAUCUGCUCCAAUUCCUUUUUACACUUUAUGAUGUGUGCAAGCUCCUCUAAACACCAUCUUGACGAUGCAUAGCUUUUUGAAAAUAUCACUAUAGCAAAUUUAGACUCUUGUAUGGCUUUCAAAAGUUCAUCAGAAAUUGAUUUUCCCGUUUCUAGUCGCUCAUCAUCUUUAAAAGUGCGGAUCCCUCUUUGUUCCAAAGCAUUAUAGAGAUGACUCACAAAGUUUCUACAUGUAUCUUCACCUCUAAAACUCAAAAAGACAUCGUACUUGCAAAUUUUGGAAGAAGAAGCAUGAGACAUUGUUGAAGGAUAUAAGACUAACAGGUAACUUCUCAGCCCAACUAGCAACAUUAUUUCUCAGCUAUGUGAAUGCAUAAUUUGGUCAAAAAGAGUGAAACAGUUGAGUUGACCAACCUGGUCAAAAAGAAAGAAAAGACAGACAAAUUUCCAGUUUAAUAAUAAAGAACAAGACUUCACCAUUUUCACUAUUCCUAGUCUUUAUGAGGAACUUGUUAUCAUCUUCCUAUUUCAACUUAUAAAAUGUUAACUUUUUCAUUACUGUGAGAAAUUAAAGAGUAUAAAAACAGACAAGAAGACUUACACCAAAAAAGGCAAAGAAAAAACUAAAGUCAUUACAUUUUUACUGAUAUUAUUGUAAAGACUUUACCUUUUUCAUUAUUCCAAACCUCUGUAGGAAACUUGUUAUCAUCUUCCUAAUUCAUGACAUAUAAUUGUACUCUUUUUCAGUAUUGCACUGACAAAUUAAACUAAUGAGCACCAAAUUGGGGCACAAAUUUAAAUCUUAACUUAAUCAUACCUUUCGGAAAAUUGAUAUAAAUUCGUCGCCCUAACUGAGAAAUUGCCCAGAAAUUGAAGAAAAAAAUCGUAAUAAUUUAGAAAAAAACACACAAAAAGCAGAAAAGAAAACUGACCACAUCAAAGAUAUAAGCAGAAAAGAAGAGAACCGCACUCUUAACUAUUGAGGUUUAUAAGAGCUUAUUUGGUCAGAUAUAUCAUUUUUAGGUUUAUCUUUAUCAAGAGGAAAAUGGAAUAAAGAUUCUUGACAAGCUGACGGAGUAUGUCGGAUUUUAGCGUUUUCUUUAAUAGUGUUUAUUAGCAAUAAACAAGCUUUUUUUUUUACUCGUAUUGAAGAUGCGUUUUUUUCUAAAAUGAUCCGUAUUGAGUUAAAUUAAAAAUUAGAAAGCAAGUAUUUGUGUUAAAUCAAGAUAGCCGGGAUGAUAUGAAAAAAACAAAAAUACAUGAUAUUAUUUAAUUUAAUUGAAUGUUUAAACAAGAAAAUUGAAGCACUUCCGUCAGUUAUUAUUCAUGCAAAAAUACAUUAAAAAAAAUCUCAAAAAAAAAUCAAUGUUCAUACAUUAAUUUUUAUUUUUUUUAAAAGGAAAACUAACGAACACAAGUUAUAUGGACAAACACCAACUAAAAAUCGCAUACCCUUUCCCAUAGGCAGUGGCGGAGGCAGGAUUUCCAUCGAGGGGGUUCAAAAAGAUAAGUAAGCACACUAUUAGUAUCCAUAUAAGCGGGGCGGGUCAAAUAUAAAUGGGUCGGAUCAGAUAUAAGCAACUAAAAAAAAUUCAACUCUACCUCAACACAAACAAUAAAAUCGAGUAAUCAUAUGUUUGACGAGAUUUGUAUUUUUUAAAACUAUAAUUAUGGGUCUUGUCUCUGUCAUUGUUGUAUACAAACGUUAUUUAAUUUUUGAAACUAACUAAGGAAUACUUCUAAAUCCGAUCAUACUGUAGCAAUAAAAUUUGCGUCGAUAAAAUAAUUAUCAAGGUUGAAAAAUAUCGCGACAAUUGUAUUUAUUUAUAAAUUUUAAAUGAUUACUCUUAUUUAUUUAAUCUUACUUAUAAUUAUAUUAAUUCUUAAUCAAAUAUAAAUUAAAUGUUUUCUUAAAAUGAGUAUGAAAGAAUGUAUUUUUAAUUUUAAUUAUGACAACAACGUUUAUAAGUUUUACUUAAUUUUAUAAAAAUGGAAAAUUAAAUUUAUUUUUUUAAUAUCUAAUAAAUAGUAUAAAUCUCAAUAGGUUUUCAAACAAAACAAAAAUUUUCAUUUAUUUAGAAAAUUAAAUGAAAAUCGGCUGAAAUAUGGGGGAAAAAAAUGCUGUUACAGGGAGUCGAACCUGCGACCCAGCACUUAUAUUGCGAAUUCUUGAACCCCCUUUACCACUAAACCAAGCCCUUAGCUUAUGUUCAGGGGUUCAUCACUUGGUAUAUACAUAUAAAUAAAAAAAUUGACCCUAUAUAUACCAUGUAAUUUUUCCAACGAAGGGGGUUCGGAUGAACCCCUUGGAUCCAUGUAGAUCCGCCCCUGCCCAUAGGACUCAAUUAUUUUUAAGAAGUAUUAAUUUUCAAAUUAAAAAUGUCUCUCCAAAUACAAAUAGCCUUUUACAUAUAAACAGACCUUUGCCUCACUCAUUGCUUCUUUUCUUUUUUCUAUGACCACUAUCAUCACUCAUUGCUUCCUCUUCAUACACCAGCCGAAUUCCCCAGCAUACUUCUUUCUCCAGCCCGUACAUGUGAGAAAACUCCAACAUGUAAUAAUCAUUUGGAUUCUUCCCUUCUUUAUUGCCAGAAGCAUUCCACAAUGUUUCAAAUGGUAUGUACCAGCAAUAAAUGAAAGGAUCAUUGGAAAAAGACCCACUCACCCCAUACUUCAAGGAAUAUUUUCUUUCAGGGUCAGAUUUGCAGACCAAUGUAGCUUCUAAUCUUAUGUACUUUGUAGUAGGACCGUAGGUUAUCCAAAAACCCAUGAAUUUAUUGGUAUACCAAGAUGGGUUCAGAUCAAUUGACAUCUUUUCUUGAUUUAUAAAUGGACAAUCAUAAUCGAACAACUCUGAAAUUCUGACUCUGGGAAAAGUAAUGAGAAAAUAAUCCCUUUGAUGGAAGUCACACUGCAUGCAAUAGAAUAGAGAUUAUUAUUACUACUACUAGAAAUCAAUUUGACGAGAAUAAUAUUCAACAUUCAUAUAUGAGAUAAAAACCUGGAUGCAUGUCCUGAGAAAAUGAUGUAGGAACACAUUAACUUGUUCACUUGAGACGGCUCCACAGUUGGAUAUUACGAGCCUACACAGCCUAAGACAAUUAAUUACGAGAUCUCUGAUGCUCUUCAAGGCUAAAUGAUAAUCUGCUAAUAGCUCCCUUAAAUUUGGGGGUAGCUCUCCUGGCAGUUCAUUAAGAUUCUGACAGAAGUGUAUGUUCAGACUCCGAAGGUGUAAGAGUCCUUUAAGGCUUUUUGGUAAACAAGAAAUAUUGCUUCCACUUAAACUCAAAUAUUUCAAAGUGUGCAAAGAUCCUAAAUCCUCAAAAAGUCCACUCAAGCCUAAAAUUAUCAGUUUCCCAAGCUUGGUGAUGGAGGGAGGUGGUUGGUAUAUUGCAGUUUCGCUCACAUCAAGCUUACAUAACUCUUGCAAAUCACCCAUGUUUUCUGGAAGCUUUUCUAGCUUUUUGCACCCGUUGAGUAAAAGAUAUUGAAGAUUCAUCAAAUUACAGAGGCUGUCUGGUAGACUUACAAGAUCUUCACAACGUUUCAGACAUAGCUCAGUGAGGCCGCUCAGAUUCCCAAUGGAUGAAGGCACUUCUCUUAUCCCAGUAGACUUCAGACUCAGUCGUGUCAAGCAAUGCAUAUCUCCGUUGAUUUCUGGAAAUGUAUCUAAUUUUGGGUAUUUAGAUAUCGAGAGAUCUAGAAGGGAUUCCAUCUGAAUAGAGCUUGGAAGCUUCUUUAAGUUCUCACAUCUCUCUAUUAUUAACAAACGGAGAUUCUUUUGAACUUCAAGAGAUAUGGGGAGCUUUACCAAUCCAGAACAUCCGUAUAUACAAAGAACUUUCAAUAGCUGUGAUUCGAAGAGGCUGUUUGGCAGUGUUGCAAGUUUAUUGCAACCUGAAAUUCUGAGAUCACUAAGAUUUCGAAUAGUGUCUGGAAUACAUUCAAGAAUUUCACAAUCACCCAAAUGCAACUCUCUAAGGCUGCUGAGAGACGGGGGUAAGCUUCUUAUCCAGGGGGAUCCUAGAGAGAGUUUUGAUAAGCGCCGCAUAUUUCCACAGAUUUCUGGAAAUUCUUCUAACCUUGUGCAUUCCCUGAGAUUGAGAUCCUCAAGAGAAUCCAUGCAGACAAAUUUUGGAAGCUUCUUAAGUUUGCGACAACCAUACAAACUCAAAUAAGUAAGCAUUUUGCAAUGUCCAAUAGAGGGAUGGACCUCUUCCAAAUUCACACACCCCUCUAAAUGUAGCUUCUCCAAGUUUGGUAUACCACCAAAAUUAGGGGUUUUUGUGAACUCACAGCUAUCCCUGAGAUCCAAAUGCUUCAAAUUGCUCAAUUUCUGUAUUCAUUUAAAAAAAAAACGAAAAACUAGUUAACUAAAGUAGUACUCCUAAUAGAAAUAUUUUAUGGGAAAAAAAAUAAAGAGAAGAGAAGGUUGUUAUGAUCAUUGAAGGCAGUAGAAAACGUGGAAAAGAGGGAGUCCCAUGUAAUUCUAUCAACCAAAGCUAGAACAGAUUAAAACAGAUGGAAAGAAAUCACCUAGGAGUCGUUUGGUAGAGUGUAUAAAAACAAUGCUCAAUAGAGUCUAUUAGUAAUACUUGCAUUAGUUAUGUAUAGAUUAUUUCUCAUGCAUUGUUUAGUUUGGUGUAUUAAAAAUUGUAUGCAUUGUAUAAAAAUAUUUAUGUACAAAAAUAUCCUCCACAAUUAUGGUGGAAAAGAUGUAAAAAUGCUUUUGAGGGGUAAUUGGGUCUAUGCUAAUACAUGUAUUAAAUUCAUUUGCAUUACUAAUACCUAGAAAUCCAUGGUAUUAGUAAUACACUCCACUAAUAUAGGGAUUUGAACCUGAGAUCUCAUAGUGCUCAAUCCACUUCUUUGACACCUAGUACACAUCCUUGGGUGCGCUUGCAAGUUCUUUAUUAGGUAGAUAUAAUUGCAGGAAGUAAAUUACUAUACAAUUAUAAAUCCAAAGAUUCAAAAAUAUUUACAUCAUGACUGUGAUGAAGUACUUCAUUUAUAUCGUGAAUGUCAACAAAGUUAGGUUCCGCCUAAAUAUGUUGAAGAUUUAAUUGGGAAAAGAAAGGUGAUGAAAAGAGAGAGGGAGAGAUUAUAUAUUUGAUUUUUGUGAUGAAGUUUGUACUUGUAAGAACAAUAUUUGAACUUUCAAGUGAGUGAUUACCAAAAAAAAAGAUUAAAAAAUUGGUGUUAAUUGUGUAUAACAGUACAUUUAUUUAAAGUAGCAUUUAAAUCGUGGACGGAUUAAUUUACGUGCAUUGACCUAUCAAAACAUUUAUUUCAAGCUCAUGAUUACGUUGAUUAAAAUUAGAAAAAGUAAAUUACAUGAAAGCGAGUUUAUAUACAUGAUGUUCUAUAAUUACAACUAUUUGUUCAGAUUUAUUAUUACAUUAUUCUGUACAAGAACUUUGCAACAAAUCUAGUUGAUGUAUAAUAUUUGAAAAUUUAAAACCAAAAUAGUAGAGUUAAUUGAUUUUAAUCCCUCGAAGGAGAAAACUUUGGUUCAAGCCGAUCCUAAUAGUAAUAUACAAUCAGUUAGCACACCAAUUGGAGUAUGUAGCAUGCGGACCGAAAAAGAUGGUAAUGUUAUGAGUCCUACAAUAGCUAAGGCUAUUCAAGAAAGUCAGGCUGCCAUGUUACUCAAACCCAAUUUAGCGAUCAAGCCACCCAUGGUCACAUUGAGCAUCUCAGCUCAUGAGGUCACUUCCCAAAAUUUGGAUUCACCUGAUGAACAUCAAGGUGAAUUUGGACAGCUCUUAUCAUCCACGGGAAAUGAUAAAGUUUUGGUGAAAGGUAUGUCACCACUCUGUCAAGCUAAUUUUACAAAUGAUUUGUUAAUUUCGAAAGAAAAACAACAAGGGGAGAUGAGUACUCCUAGGUGGGCUGAUUUUGGUUGAUGAAGAGAGCAUGUUUCACUCCUCUUUUGAAUAGAAAAUUAAGUCCACAAGCUCAAGAAUUUGUACCUAAAAGUACAAUUGCAAAGAAGAAUGAACAAGAGGCCUUAGCAUCAUGAUUUAGUCCAAUUAAUGCUUAUGCUAGUGAUUUGGGUGAUGAUUCUUUUGAUGAGGAUGAGGAAGAUAAUAUGUUGGACAUAUGCUUUGAUAAAGUGGCUAGAGAUGGGGAUAUCUCACCUAGGCAUCAAAGAAGUGGAAGCAACAAAAACAAAAAGAAGACACAUGGAAGACAACACAGAUGGGAUGGUAAUUUGACAGCGGAGUUUGUUCCAAGGCCCCUGCCGAUGCGACUGGCAAAGCAAAAUCAUAUGAUAGUGUCAAUAGCUUCAACAAGAUCCCAUACAUUCAAAAAGAAAUGAUGAAGUAUCAAAUUUUGUUGGACAUAUUUGAAGAAGACAAGAGGAAAAUACUUUAGGUUACUUUAGAUGGGCUAUCUAUCAUUGUUAAUUCACACAUUUGUAAAAAUAAGUUUGAGGUUGAUAACUCAACUUUCUUCUUGAAUUUUAUAUUUGUGCAUUAUUUAAGCAUUCUCAUUUGUAAUAUCAUCAUAGAGUGUAUUACGAAUUCUGUUAUGAUUAUAGAAUAUCUAGUUCUCUCUAGCUUUUAUUUUCUUCAUGCUUGUUAAUUAGUAGAGGUUCGUUACCUCAUAGGAUUUGACAAGGUAAGGCCUAGCCCCCCUUGCUUGUACUUAUUUUUUGUUGAGGAUUUUUGUUUUUAAUAAAAAAACUGCUAGACGCUCUGUCUAGUGGUAUUAAAAAUAAAUCAAUUUUGAACUAUAAAAAAUAAAGGGAAAAUGCAUAAGUACCCGCCAGCCUAUACCCGAAAUCCCAAAGACACACCUAACCUUUACUAAGGUCCUAUUACCCCCCCCCCCCCNNNNNNNNNNNNNNNNNNNNNNNNNNNNNNNNNNNNNNNNNNNNNNNNNNNNNNNNNNNNNNNNNNNNNNNNNNNNNNNNNNNNNNNNNNNNNNNNNNNNNNNNNNNNNNNNNNNNNNNNNNNNNNNNNNNNNNNNNNNNNNNNNNNNNNNNNNNNNNNNNNNNNNNNNNNNNNNNNNNNNNNNNNNNNNNNNNNNNNNNNNNNNNNNNNNNNNNNNNNNNNNNNNNNNNNNNNNNNNNNNNNUUCGGGCAUAGGCUGGGGGGGUACUUAUGCAUUUUCCCAAAAAUAAAUAAAAAAUACUUCAUUUAAGUUAUCUAUAGCCCAUUCCUAUAGAAAACAAAUACAGUUAUCCUACGUGGCACUAUCCUUGAAAAAAUUGUCAACACGCGCUGGGCCCACAAGAUAGUGCCACGUAGGCCGAAAAGGGGUAGAAAAUUAUAUAUAAAAUAAGUUCAGGGGGGUAAUAGGACCUUAGUAAAGGUUAGGUGUGUCUCAGAGAUUUGGGGCAUAGGCUGGGGGGGUACUGAUGCAUUUUCCCUAUAUUUAAAGCAAUUUCACCUUUGAAGGUUCAUAUAACAAAAAUAUAAAUAUUUAGUUAAGAUGAAUUACAGAAACAAGUAUAUAGCCAGCUGUCUAAUAAUUGUAAGAGAGUGUUACCUUUGAUAUUGGCCAAAGUUCAACAAGCCUACUUUCAGGUAAACAAAGCACAACGAGCUGUGAUGGUUCAAAGCUCUCUGGCAAUGAAAUUGAAGGAUACCCUAUCCAAUCAAUAAACCGCAGGCUGGAAGGAAGAUAAGUGACAGCGCAGUUUGAGUUAAAAGAUCCACCACCAACUAUGGGUAUUUUUAAGCUUUGCAUCCUCUUGAAAAUAUUGCUAUAAUCGACAAGAUCAUCUUCAAAAUAGUAAUCUUUAGGGAUACAUAGGCUUUCCACCUUUUCUGUUAUCUGUAUAGAAUGAAGCACAUAUUUAAUAGCUAACAAAUAAAAAUGAAACAAAAAGAUUAAUAGAACUACGAGCUUCCAAAAUUAUUAAUUACGUUAAAUAUUGCUUACCAACUUCCCUUUAAAAAGGUCACAAACUUCCUCGGGAAGCCAUAUUCUACUGUUAGCGUACUCUUCCCGUAUGACAUUUUCUCCCAUUUUUCUUAUCAUAUUAUGCAUCACAAUACUAUUAUUCAGGUCGAUUGAUAAUAGAGAUUUUUCGAUAAGGUAAUCUAUUAGAAAACCACGACUCAUAUAUCUCCGUACUAGUUCCACACAAAGAUGAAAAUCAUAUCUAGUCAAACAUGCAAUAUCUAGAAAUGCAAUAUCUAGAAAUAAUUCCUUCUCAUCUUUGUCCAGACCAUCAAAACUAAGCCUAAGCUUUCCUAGAAUAUCCUUGUCAGGAUUCUCUUCAGCCGAUCAAUUAUGUGUCUCCAGUGCUUUUUAUCUCGUCCAUAAAAUAAAUAACCCAAAACUUUAAGAGCUAAAGGGAGUCCACCAGCAUGCUUCACCACUUGUCAUGAAAGUUCUAUAAAAUCUUCUUUUGGUGUCACUUGCCUUGAAAGUUCCAAAAAUCCUUCUUUUGGUGAUUUUUCUCUAAAAGCAAGCCUACUGAACAAUUCAAGUGCUUCAUUCUCAGAUAAUAGUUGGACUUCAUACACAUUAUCCCCGACGUGACUGAUUAACAGGUGCUUGUCUCUUGCUGUUAAAAUAAUUCUGCUACCCCUACCAAACCACUCUGGCUCUCCAACCAAAAAUUCCAACUGUUCUUGAUGGUUUACGUCAUCGAUGGUGAACAGAACUUUCUUCCAGCGAAGCAUAUUCUUUAAAAUAUUCAUCCCUUCAUGCUCGCUAGUUAGAGUCAAUUUUUCACCCCAGAGCUUGCAAAUGACGACUUGUUGUAGCCAUGUUAGUCCAUUUUUUCUGGUGAAGUUUUCCAACAUCACCAAGAAAACAAUCAGCUUCAAAUCGAUGGCUGUAUCUUUGAUGUAGAACAUUUGCAAUUUCUGUUUUGCCGAUGCCGCCCAUACCCCAAAUACCAAUAGAGCGAACAUCAUUUGAUUCCAUAUCUAAUAAUGAGGUUACUUUCUCAACCUGAGAUUUCAAACCCACUAAGCUUUCCGGGAAAGGUGAAAUAAUUUGAAGUGACUUAGGAAAUAUGUCAUCAACUAGUUUCUUGAUG